UACGUAGGGUGCAGGCGUUAAUCGGAAUUACUGGGCGUAAAGCGUGCGCAGGCGGUCUCUUAAGACAGGUGUGAAAUCCCCGGGCUUAACCUGGGAACUGCGCUUGUAACUGAGAGGCUUGAGUGUGCCAGAGGGGGGUGGAAUUCCACGUGUAGCAGUGAAAUGCGUAGAGAUGCGGAGGAACACCGAUGGCGAAGGCAGCCCCCUGGGCUAACACUGACGCUCAGGCACGAAAGCGUGGGGAGCAAACAGG
This 253-nucleotide ribosomal RNA is filed under the name uncultured bacterium. RNAcentral's name for it is "partial 16S ribosomal RNA". It matches the Rfam family "Bacterial small subunit ribosomal RNA", at positions 524 to 776 of the family's 1533-position model. The record is from RNAcentral.